This 403-nucleotide ribosomal RNA is filed under the name uncultured bacterium. Its description in RNAcentral is "partial 16S ribosomal RNA". It matches the Rfam family "Bacterial small subunit ribosomal RNA", at positions 30 to 526 of the family's 1533-position model. The record is from RNAcentral.
AUUGAACGCUGGCGGCAGGCCUAACACAUGCAAGUCGAGCGAGCGGCGGACGGGUGAGUAAUGUAUGGGGACUGCCCGAUAGAGGGGGAUAACUACUGGAAACGGUAGCUAAUACCGCAUACUAUCGGAUAACCCAUAUGGGAUUAGCUAGUAGGUGAGGUAAUGGCUCACCUAGGCGACGCUCCCUAGCUGGUCUGAGAGGAUGAUAAGGAACACUGGGAAGUAGAAAAGGUCCAGGCUCCUACGGAGGCAGGAGUGGGGAAUAUUGCACAAAGGGGGCAAGCCUGAUACCGCCAUGCCGGGUGUAAGAAGAAGGCCCUAGGGUUGUAAAGUACUUUCAGUCGGGAGGCGUUACCGACAGAAGAAGCACCGGCUAACUCCGUGCCAGCAGCCGCGGUAAUUC